GAACUCUGGUAUUGAUUGGUGCUUGCAUCAUGAUUUACAUUUGAGUGAGUGGCGAACUGGUGAGUAACACGUGGGAAACCUGCCCAGAAGCGGGGGAUAACACCUGGAAACAGAUGCUAAUACCGCAUAACAACUUGGACCGCAUGGUCCGAGCUUGAAAGAUGGCUUCGGCUAUCACUUUUGGAUGGUCCCGCGGCGUAUUAGCUAGAUGGUGGGGUAACGGCUCACCAUGGCAAUGAUACGUAGCCGACCUGAGAGGGUAAUCGGCCACAUUGGGACUGAGACACGGCCCAAACUCCUACGGGAGGCAGCAGUAGGGAAUCUUCCACAAUGGACGAAAGUCUGAUGGAGCAACGCCGCGUGAGUGAAGAAGGGUUUCGGCUCGUAAAACUCUGUUGUUAAAGAAGAACAUAUCUGAGAGUAACUGUUCAGGUAUUGACGGUAUUUAACCAGAAAGCCACGGCUAACUACGUGCCAGCAGCCGCGGUAAUACGUAGGUGGCAAGCGUUGUCCGGAUUUAUUGGGCGUAAAGCGAGCGCAGGCGGUUUUUUAAGUCUGAUGUGAAAGCCUUCGGCUCAACCGAAGAAGUGCAUCGGAAACUGGGAAACUUGAGUGCAGAAGAGGACAGUGGAACUCCAUGUGUAGCGGUGAAAUGCGUAGAUAUAUGGAAGAACACCAGUGGCGAAGGCGGCUGUCUGGUCUGUAACUGACGCUGAGGCUCGAAAGUAUGGGUAGCAAACAGGAUUAGAUACCCUGGUAGUCCAUACCGUAAACGAUGAAUGCUAAGUGUUGGAGGGUUUCCGCCCUUCAGUGCUGCAGCUAACGCAUUAAGCAUUCCGCCUGGGGAGUACGGCCGCAAGGCUGAAACUCAAAGGAAUUGACGGGGGCCCGCACAAGCGGUGGAGCAUGUGGUUUAAUUCGAAGCUACGCGAAGAACCUUACCAGGUCUUGACAUACUAUGCAAAUCUAAGAGAUUAGACGUUCCCUUCGGGGACAUGGAUACAGGUGGUGCAUGGUUGUCGUCAGCUCGUGUCGUGAGAUGUUGGGUUAAGUCCCGCAACGAGCGCAACCCUUAUUAUCAGUUGCCAGCAUUAAGUUGGGCACUCUGGUGAGACUGCCGGUGACAAACCGGAGGAAGGUGGGGAUGACGUCAAAUCAUCAUGCCCCUUAUGACCUGGGCUACACACGUGCUACAAUGGAUGGUACAACGAGUUGCGAACUCGCGAGAGUAAGCUAAUCUCUUAAAGCCAUUCUCAGUUCGGAUUGUAGGCUGCAACUCGCCUACAU
This 1287-nucleotide ribosomal RNA is filed under the name Lactiplantibacillus plantarum. RNAcentral describes it as "bacterial SSU rRNA". It matches the Rfam family "Bacterial small subunit ribosomal RNA", at positions 64 to 1321 of the family's 1533-position model. The record is from RNAcentral. Lineage: Bacteria; Bacillati; Bacillota; Bacilli; Lactobacillales; Lactobacillaceae.